Molecule: ribosomal RNA, 433 nt
Filed under: uncultured bacterium
Lineage: Bacteria
Description: partial 16S ribosomal RNA
Rfam family: Bacterial small subunit ribosomal RNA
Source: RNAcentral
AACGAACGCUGGCGGCAUGCCUAACACAUGCAAGUCGAACGAUACCUUCGGGUCUAGUGGUGGACGGGUGCGUAACGCGUGGGAACCUGGUCUUAGGUUCGGAAUAACUCCCCGAAAGGGGUGCUAAUACCGGAUAAUGUCCUCGGACCAAAGAUUUAUCGCCUUUGGAUGGGCCGGAGUUGGAUUAGCUAGUUGGUAGGGUAAAAGCCUACCAAGGCGACGAUCCGUAGCUGGUCUGAGAGGAUGAUCAGCCACACUGGGACUGAGACACGGCCCAGACUCCUACGGGAUGCAGCAGUGGGGAAUAUUGGACAAUGGGCGAAAGCCUGAUCCAGCAAUGCCGCGUGAGUGAUGAAGGCCUUAGGGUUGUAAAGCUCUUUUACCCGGGAUGAUAAUGACAGUACCGGGAGAAUAAGCUCCGGCUAACUCCGUG